This 410-nucleotide long non-coding RNA is filed under the name Cicer arietinum (chickpea). RNAcentral's name for it is "long non-coding RNA (CARI_LNC000973)". Lineage: Eukaryota; Viridiplantae; Streptophyta; Magnoliopsida; Fabales; Fabaceae. The record is from RNAcentral.
CCAUAAACCAGCAGCACAAAUCAACAAAAACACAGGCCACAAAAAGUUCUCCCUUUUCCUCCUCUUGGUUGAUUUCCCUCUCCAGCCACCAAUGAGACGGUUGAUAAUCCGAUGUUCAUUCGAAUUGCUUCGCGCGAUUUCUCCGACGAGCGAAUUCAAGGGUUCCGGCAAGAUUUUGAGAUUAAAUGCGAUGGUGGAAGCUAGUUGAAGAAUCUUUCGAUUCGACGAUAGGGGCCACCCUCUUCGCCUGCUGGCGCACACGAUUUGUUGGUGUGUUGGAGUUGGAUGGGAAUAUAAAAGGUGAAGCGAUUUAGGAUUGCGGAGAGGAGAAUUGGCGUUGAUUUUAGAGAAUGGAAAUGGAAGAGUGCGAUUUGAAAUUGAAGGAAUGGAGUGGGUUGUGUAAGUGUAGG